This 23-nucleotide non-coding RNA is filed under the name Arabidopsis thaliana (thale cress). Lineage: Eukaryota; Viridiplantae; Streptophyta; Magnoliopsida; Brassicales; Brassicaceae. The record is from RNAcentral.
UAUCUUAGGUGUAUCUUAGAAUA